Molecule: ribosomal RNA, 445 nt
Filed under: uncultured bacterium
Lineage: Bacteria
Description: partial 16S ribosomal RNA
Rfam family: Bacterial small subunit ribosomal RNA
Source: RNAcentral
GUGAGGAAUAUUGGACAAUGGAUGGAAAUCUGAUCCAGCCAUGCCGCGUGCAGGAAGACGGCCCUAUGGGUUGUAAACUGCUUUUAUACGGGAGCAAUAAGGUCUAUGCAUAGAUUGAUGAGAGUACCGUAUGAAUAAGCAUCGGCUAACUCCGUGCCAGCAGCCGCGGUAAUACGGAGGAUGCGAGCGUUAUCCGGAUUUAUUGGGUUUAAAGGGUGCGUAGGCGGCUUUGUAAGUCAGCGGUGAAAUUUUGCAGCUUAACUGUAAAAGCGCCGUUGAUACUGUGAAGCUAGGAUUUGGUUGCUGUGGGCGGAAUGUGUGGUGUAGCGGUGAAAUGCAUAGAGAUCACACAGAAUAUCGAUUGCGAAGGCAGCUCACAAAGCCAAUAUUGACGCUGAGGCACGAAAGUGUGGGGAUCAAACAGGAUUAGAUACCCCUGUAGUCC